UACAGAGGGUGCGAGCGUUGUUCGGAAUUAUUGGGCGUAAAGCGCUUGUAGGCGGCACGUCAAGUCGCGUGUGAAAUCCCCAGGCUUAACCUGGGAAGUGCGCGCGAAACUGACGAGCUUGAGUGCCGGAGAGGGUCGCGGAAUUCCCGGUGUAGAGGUGAAAUGCGUAGAUAUUGGGAAGAACACCGGUGGCGAAGGCGGCGACCUGGUCCGAUACUGACGCUGAGGCGCGAAAGCGUGGGGAGCAAACAGG
RNAcentral lists this ribosomal RNA (253 nucleotides) under uncultured bacterium. RNAcentral describes it as "partial 16S ribosomal RNA". It matches the Rfam family "Bacterial small subunit ribosomal RNA", at positions 524 to 776 of the family's 1533-position model. The record is from RNAcentral.